RNAcentral lists this ribosomal RNA (304 nucleotides) under uncultured bacterium. Its description in RNAcentral is "partial 16S ribosomal RNA". It matches the Rfam family "Bacterial small subunit ribosomal RNA", at positions 506 to 807 of the family's 1533-position model. The record is from RNAcentral.
CAGCAGCCGCCGCGGUAAAACGGAGGGGGCUAGCGUUGUUCGGAAUUACUGGGCGUAAAGCGCACGUAGGCGGCUUUGUAAGUCAGAGGUGAAAGCCUGGAGCUCAACUCCAGAAUUGCCUUUGAGACUGCAUCGCUUGAACGUCGGAGAGGUGAGUGGAAUUCCGAGUGUAGAGGUGAAAUUCGUAGAUAUUCGGAAGAACACCAGUGGCGAAGGCGGCUCACUGGACGACUAUUGACGCUGAGGUGCGAAAGCGUGGGGAGCAAACAGGAUUAGAUACCCCGGUAGUCCCUGUCUCUUAUAC